Molecule: ribosomal RNA, 484 nt
Filed under: uncultured bacterium
Lineage: Bacteria
Description: partial 16S ribosomal RNA
Rfam family: Bacterial small subunit ribosomal RNA
Source: RNAcentral
AUUGAACGCUGGCGGCAGGCCUAACACAUGCAAGUCGAGCGGAUGAAGGGAGCUUGCUCCUGAAUUCAGCGGCGGACGGGUGAGUAAUGCCUAGGAAUCUGCCUGGUAGUGGGGGAUAACGUCCGGAAACGGGCGCUAAUACCGCAUACGUCCUGAGGGAGAAAGUGGGGGAUCUUCGGACCUCACGCUAUCAGAUGAGCCUAGGUCGGAUUAGCUAGUUGGUGGGGUAAAGGCCUGCCAAGGCGACGAUCCGUAACUGGUCUGAGAGGAUGAUAAGUCACACUGGAACUGAGACACGGUCCCGGCUCCUACGGGAGGCAGCGGUGGGGAAGAUUGGACGAUGGGCGAAAGCCUGAUCCAGCCAUGCCGCGUGUGUGAAGAAGGUCUUCGGAUUGUAAAGCACUUUAAGUUGGGAGGAAGGGCAGUAAGUUAAUACCUUGCUGUUUUGACGUUACCAACAGAAUAAGCACCGGCUAACUUCGUG